ACAAUGAAGAGUUUGAUCCUGGCUCAGGAUGAACGCUAGCUACAGGCUUAACACAUGCAAGUCGAGGGGCAGCAUUUUAGUUUGCUUGCAAACUGAAGAUGGCGACCGGCGCACGGGUGAGUAACACGUAUCCAACCUGCCGAUAACUCCGGAAUAGCCUUUCGAAAGAAAGAUUAAUACCGGAUAGUAUACGAAUAUCGCAUGAUAUUUUUAUUAAAGAAUUUCGGUUAUCGAUGGGGAUGCGUUCCAUUAGUUUGUUGGCGGGGUAACGGCCCACCAAGACUACGAUGGAUAGGGGUUCUGAGAGGAAGGUCCCCCACAUUGGAACUGAGACACGGUCCAAACUCCUACGGGAGGCAGCAGUGAGGAAUAUUGGUCAAUGGGCGAGAGCCUGAACCAGCCAAGUAGCGUGAAGGAUGAAGGCUCUAUGGGUCGUAAACUUCUUUUAUAUGGGAAUAAAGUUUUCCACGUGUGGAAUUUUGUAUGUACCAUAUGAAUAAGGAUCGGCUAACUCCGUGCCAGCAGCCGCGGUAAUACGGAGGAUCCGAGCGUUAUCCGGAUUUAUUGGGUUUAAAGGGAGCGUAGGUGGAUUGUUAAGUCAGUUGUGAAAGUUUGCGGCUCAACCGUAAAAUUGCAGUUGAAACUGGGAGUCUUGAGUACAGUAGAGGUGGGCGGAAUUCGUGGUGUAGCGGUGAAAUGCUUAGAUAUCACGAAGAACUCCGAUUGCGAAGGCAGCUCACUAGACUGUCACUGACACUGAUGCUCGAAAGUGUGGGUAUCAAACAGGAUUAGAUACCCUGGUAGUCCACACAGUAAACGAUGAAUACUCGCUGUUUGCGAUAUACAGUAAGCGGCCAAGCGAAAGCAUUAAGUAUUCCACCUGGGGAGUACGCCGGCAACGGUGAAACUCAAAGGAAUUGACGGGGGCCCGCACAAGCGGAGGAACAUGUGGUUUAAUUCGAUGAUACGCGAGGAACCUUACCCGGGCUUAAAUUGCAACAGAAUAUAUUGGAAACAGUAUAGCCGUAAGGCUGUUGUGAAGGUGCUGCAUGGUUGUCGUCAGCUCGUGCCGUGAGGUGUCGGCUUAAGUGCCAUAACGAGCGCAACCCUUAUCUUUAGUUACUAACAGGUCAUGCUGAGGACUCUAGAGAGACUGCCGUCGUAAGAUGUGAGGAAGGUGGGGAUGACGUCAAAUCAGCACGGCCCUUACGUCCGGGGCUACACACGUGUUACAAUGGGGGGUACAGAAGGCGGCUACCUGGUGACAGGAUGCUAAUCCCAAAAACCUCUCUCAGUUCGGAUCGAAGUCUGCAACCCGACUUCGUGAAGCUGGAUUCGCUAGUAAUCGCGCAUCAGCCAUGGCGCGGUGAAUACGUUCCCGGGCCUUGUACACACCGCCCGUCAAGCCAUGAAAGCCGGGGGUACCUGAAGUACGUAACCGCAAGGAGCGUCCUAGGGUAAAACUGGUAAUUGGGGCUAAGUCGUAACAAGGUAGCCGUACCGGAAGGUGCGGCUGGAACACCUCCUUU
RNAcentral lists this ribosomal RNA (1529 nucleotides) under Bacteroides ovatus. RNAcentral's name for it is "bacterial SSU rRNA". It matches the Rfam family "Bacterial small subunit ribosomal RNA". Lineage: Bacteria; Pseudomonadati; Bacteroidota; Bacteroidia; Bacteroidales; Bacteroidaceae. The record is from RNAcentral.